GAUGAAGAACGUAGCGAAAUGCGAUACGUAAUGUGAAUUGCAGAAUUCAGUGAAUCAUCGAGUCUUUGAACGCACAUUGCGCCCCCUGGUAUUCCGGGGGGCAUGCCUGUCCGAGCGUCAUUGCUGCCCUCAAGCACGGCUUGUGUGUUGGGCCUCCGUCCUCCUCCCGGGGGACGGGCCCGAAAGGCAGCGGCGGCACCGCGUUCGGUCCUCGAGCGUAUGGGGCUUCGUCACCCGCUCUUGUAGGCCCGGCCGGCGCUUGCCGACACAUCAAUCUUUUUUCCAGGUUGACCUCGGAUCGGGUAGGGAUACCCGCUGAACUUAAGCAUAUCAAUAAGCGGAGGA
This 345-nucleotide unclassified non-coding RNA is filed under the name soil metagenome. RNAcentral describes it as "partial contains 5.8S ribosomal RNA, internal transcribed spacer 2, and large subunit ribosomal RNA". The stretch from base 1 to 120 matches the Rfam family "5.8S ribosomal RNA", at positions 35 to 154 of the family's 154-position model. The record is from RNAcentral.